This 1384-nucleotide ribosomal RNA is filed under the name Didemnum sp. CA_4-7. RNAcentral describes it as "partial 18S ribosomal RNA". It matches the Rfam family "Eukaryotic small subunit ribosomal RNA", at positions 423 to 1482 of the family's 1831-position model. The record is from RNAcentral. Lineage: Eukaryota; Metazoa; Chordata; Ascidiacea; Aplousobranchia; Didemnidae.
AGGCAGCAGGCGCGCAAAUUACCCAUUUCAGACUCUGAGAGGUAGUGACGAGAAAUACCGAUGCCGGGCCUCGACGGGCGCCGACAAUCGAAAUGAGCGCAGCUCAAAACACUGAAGUCGUUCCGGCCGACGUCCGGCUCGCGAGGGUCGGGCGCUCGGUCGCGUGUCGUGCGAGUAUCGAUCGGAGGGCAAGUCUGGUGCCAGCAGCCGCGGUAAUUCCAGCUCCGAAAGCGUAUGCUCAUGUUGUUGCGGUUGAAAAGCUCGUAGUUGGAAAUAAGCUUUUCGCCGGGCGCGGGCCGGCCGCGAGGUCGCGUCGCGCGCUCGAAACGAAAGAUGAUGGUGUCGCCCGUCGUCGCUUCGCGUUCCGAGAGGGCGCGUUCGGCGGCGGGUGCCGAGCGCGGACGGCCGGCGUGGCUCCCGCUUCUCGCGGAAGUUGCACGUCGAGAGUCGUUCGCAGGUUGCCCUGAAGAAAUUGAAGCGAUCAGGGCAGGUCGACGUCAAAACGAGACCGGCGGCCGCGAGGCGCGCCGAGUCGACCGAGAACAGUCGUGCAUGGUACAACGGAAGACGGCCGCGGCUCCGCCGCCGGCGUCGAGAUAUGUGCGCGUGGCAAUGAUCAAGAGGGACGGACGGGGGCAUUCGUACUGUGCCGGGAGGGGUGAAAUCCGUGGAUCGGCGCAAGACGAACAGAAGCGAAGGCGUCUGCCAAGGACGUUUUCCUUAAUCAAGAGCGAAAGUCGGAGGUUCGAAGACGAUCAGAUACCGUCGUAGUUCCGACCGUAAACGAUGCCGACCGCGUGGUCGCCCACGUAUUCAAAGAUCUCGUCAGGUCGCGUUCCGCGAGCGCGCGGCGCCGACGCUCCCCGGAGCGCUCGGGUCUGUCGCGCGUCGCCGCGGGCCGUCCGAGGGAUCGGGCAUGUCGGGGUGGCCGCGCCGGGAGGGAAACCGGAGUCUUCGGGUUCCGGGGGAAGUAUGGUUGCAAAGCUGAAACUUGAAGGAAUUGACGGAAGGGCACCACCAGGCGUGGAGCCUGCGGCUUAAUUUGACUCAACGCGGGGAAACUCACCCGGCCCGGACGUUACGAGGAUUGACAGAUUGAAAGCUCUUUCUCGAUUUAGCGGAUGGUGGUGCAUGGCCGUUCUUAGUUCGUGGAACGAUUCGUCUGGUUGAUUCCGAUAACGAACGAGACUCGAAUUUGCUCAUGUAUGCGUGCCCGAUCCUGCGCGGCGUCGUCGUCUUCGGGCGGCGCGUCGGCAGACUGCGAUCGGGUCGCGUUCGACGGCGCGGUCUCGCGCGCGGACGCGAAAGUAUUCUCAGAAGGACCGGCGGCGGUUAAGCCGCACGAGAUCGAGCGAUAACAGGUCUGUGAUGCCCUUCGAUGUUC